AGCUUUGCGCAGUGGCAGUAUCGUAGCCAAUGAGGUUUAUCCGAGGCGCGAUUAUUGCUAAUUGAAAAAACUUUCACAGGUCAAUCUGAUAUACUUAAGAACCACUGCUUUUAAAUAACAAUUUUCAAAAAUAUAAAAUAUA
Molecule: small nuclear RNA, 142 nt
Organism: Hyaena hyaena (striped hyena)
Lineage: Eukaryota; Metazoa; Chordata; Mammalia; Carnivora; Hyaenidae
Product: U4 spliceosomal RNA
Exons: 1
Source: RefSeq, a predicted model, not a curated record